Molecule: ribosomal RNA, 253 nt
Filed under: uncultured bacterium
Lineage: Bacteria
Description: partial 16S ribosomal RNA
Rfam family: Bacterial small subunit ribosomal RNA
Source: RNAcentral
UACGGAGGGUGCGAGCGUUGUCCGGAAUCACUGGGCGUAAAGGGCGCGUAGGCGGCCUGAUAAGUAGGGGGUGAAAUCCUGCGGCUUAACCGCAGGGCUGCCUUCUAAACUGUCAGGCUUGAGCACAGUAGAGGCAGGUGGAAUUCCCGGUGUAGCGGUGGAAUGCGUAGAGAUCGGGAAGAACACCGGUGGCGAAGGCGGCCUGCUGGGCAGUUGCUGACACUGAGGCGCGACAGCGUGGGGAGCAAACAGG